RNAcentral lists this long non-coding RNA (498 nucleotides) under Populus trichocarpa (black cottonwood). Its description in RNAcentral is "long non-coding RNA (PTRI_LNC003128)". Lineage: Eukaryota; Viridiplantae; Streptophyta; Magnoliopsida; Malpighiales; Salicaceae. The record is from RNAcentral.
AUGAAGACCACCAGGCAUCAGAGUUGUUGGAUAUUCCUUCCUUUGAGAAACUCAAAGUGGAUUAUGAUUCUCCUCCUGGUAAUCAUGUUGCUGAGCAAGGGCCUGUUAGUCACCAGCCACAGAGAUUGCCUUCAAUGGACGAUGAGCCAUACUUCUCAUACCCAAAUUUGUUCACAUCACAAAACUCAAAUCUCGGAUCUGGUGCACAAUCUGCUAGAGAUCAUUCUCGUUCCACCAAUGACCUUUAAGUUGAGUCCUGUGCGUUGGUUAUGUGGGAACCUUUAAGUUGAGUCCUGUGCAUUGGUUAUGUGGUGAGUUGAUUGACUGCUACGUAGUUUAUCGAUGCAAAUAUGGUAUGAGCCAUUUUUAUUGUUAUUUGUAGAGUGUGAGAUUAUUAGUCGUAGUGGUGUUAAUUCCCUAGAGUCGUUUCUGCAAUCAUGUCCAAUGAGGUUUAUAAUAAGGAAAUUUCAAUUACUUGAUGUAGUUGAGAAGCCAUCU